This 390-nucleotide long non-coding RNA is filed under the name Triticum aestivum (bread wheat). RNAcentral describes it as "long non-coding RNA (TAES_LNC002860)". Lineage: Eukaryota; Viridiplantae; Streptophyta; Magnoliopsida; Poales; Poaceae. The record is from RNAcentral.
UUUUCUUUGUAGAAGGACUGGGUGCAUCAGUGUUAAUUCUUUGAGAGUCUUGUUCAAUUCUGUUUGGGUGUCCCUCAGGAUAAAGUGGUUCCUAAGUCAUUUUACCUCCUCUAGUUGCUACUCUAACAACAAAGUCACUUAUAUUAUUGUUCAUUUCAUCAAGUAACUCUCUUUGAGAUUUAGCAACUUGUUCUAAUUGAGUUUGAACCAUAGAGGCAUGCUUUCCUACACCUCUAACAUCAUUUGAGAUUCUAACUAACAAGUCAUUUAAGCGGGCAAUCAAAUCAGAGCUGUAUUUCAAUUGUUUCAUAACAUUUGCAUUGAAGUGAUCUUGCUUUCUAAUGUAAUUAUCAAACUCAUAAAGGCAUUGACUAGGAUUUUUAUUACGAG